RNAcentral lists this long non-coding RNA (384 nucleotides) under Sinocyclocheilus anshuiensis. Its description in RNAcentral is "lncRNA (ENSSANG00000000375.1)". Lineage: Eukaryota; Metazoa; Chordata; Actinopteri; Cypriniformes; Cyprinidae. The record is from RNAcentral.
CUGGAAUCUUCAGGUUUCUCUGGUCUUUUGUCCAAACAUCUGUAUGUUCUUUGCCUUCAUGCUUUGGGGCUUUACUGAAGGAUCUCUGCAUGAGACUGUCACCUGCUGUGCUCUUUAUAUUCUGAGGCCUGUUAUGUUGAUUUGGGCUUUGCGCUAUUUGAAGUAUCUUCAAGACAAUCAUAAAUCAUGGAUUAGGUUUUUCAGAAUAACACAUGAACUUACUGUUCUUACAGUCAUUGUUUAUUCAGUUCUUUUUGCAUAUGGCUGGAGAAUUAGUGCACAUGAUACAGACAAGACACACCGUAUAGCCUCAGGAAUGUGCUUUGGAUUAGUUGUGCUGUUCUGUCUCAUCCUGAGUGCAGGUAAGAGUUUCUGUAUGAUUUG